GGCUCCGGCGCGUCACGGGCCUCAGCUGGGAUUCCCGCGCCCCUCGGACGGCCACGAGACUCGGAAAUAUAAGCAAGUUAUUAUGGUGCCCAGAAAGGGGGCAAAGGUUCCAG
This 113-nucleotide unclassified non-coding RNA is filed under the name Homo sapiens (human). RNAcentral's name for it is "high mobility group nucleosomal binding domain 4 (ENSG00000292175.1)". The record is from RNAcentral. Lineage: Eukaryota; Metazoa; Chordata; Mammalia; Primates; Hominidae.